This 524-nucleotide ribosomal RNA is filed under the name uncultured bacterium. Its description in RNAcentral is "partial 16S ribosomal RNA". It matches the Rfam family "Bacterial small subunit ribosomal RNA", at positions 28 to 523 of the family's 1533-position model. The record is from RNAcentral.
GACGAACGCUGGCGGCGUGCCUAAUACAUGCAAGUCGAACGCUUCUUUUUCCACCGGAGCUUGCUCCACCGGAAAAAGAGGAGUGGCGAACGGGUGAGUAACACGUGGGUAACCUGCCCAUCAGAGGGGGAUAACACUUGGAAACAGGUGCUAAUACCGUAUAACAAUCGAAACCGCAUGGUUUUGAUUUGAAAGGCGCUUUCGGGUGUCGCUGAUGGAUGGACCCGCGGUGCAUUAGCUAGUUGGUGAGGUAACGGCUCACCAAGGCCACGAUGCAUAGCCGACCUGAGAGGGUGAUCGGCCACAUUGGGACUGAGACACAGCCCAAACUCCUAAGGGAGGCAGCAGUAGGGAAUCUUCGGCAAUGGACGAAAGUCUGACCGAGCAACGCCGCGUGAGUGAAGAAGGUUUUCGGAUCGUAAAACUCUGUUGUUAGAGAAGAACAAGGAUGAGAGUAACUGUUCAUCCCUUGACGGUAUCUAACCAGAAAGCCACGGCUAACUACGUGCCAGCAGCCGCGGUAA